Molecule: ribosomal RNA, 493 nt
Filed under: uncultured bacterium
Lineage: Bacteria
Description: bacterial SSU rRNA
Rfam family: Bacterial small subunit ribosomal RNA
Source: RNAcentral
AAAGGAAUAGACGGGGGCCCGCACAAGCGGUGGAGCAUGUGGUUUAAUUCGAUGCAACGCGAAGAACCUUACCAUCCCUUGACAUCCAGAGAAGUUUCCAGAGAUGGAUUCGUGCCUUCGGGAGCUCUGAGACAGGUGCUGCAUGGCUGUCGUCAGCUCGUGUCGUGAGAUGUUGGGUUAAGUCCCGCAACGAGCGCAACCCUUAUCAUUAGUUGCUACCAUUUAGUUGAGAACUCUAAUGAGACUGCCGGUGAUAAACCGGAGGAAGGCGGGGACGACGUCAAGUCAUCAUGGCCCUUAUGGGAUGGGCUACACACGUGCUACAAUGGUCGGUACAAACAGUUGCGAAGCCGCGAGGUGGUGCUAAUCUGAUAAAACCGAUCGUAGUCCGGAUUGGAGUCUGCAACUCGACUCCAUGAAGUCGGAAUCGCUAGUAAUCGUGAAUCAGAAUGUCACGGUGAAUACGUUCCCGGGCCUUGUACACACCGCCCGU